GGCAGCGCCCGGCCCGCCCCGCGGCACCUGGGGCCGCCCCGCCGCCCCCUCCUCCUUCUCCUCCUCCUCCUGCACCUCCCCGCUCCCUCCUCCCUCCCUCUUCCUCCUCUUCCCCCUCCCGCAGACGCGGAUGCUCUCGGGCAGCGGUGGCCGCGGUGCGGGGCGGUGGGGGCAUGGCGGCCCCGGACAGCUGCGUGAAGGUGGCGGUGAGGAUCCGUCCCCAGCUGUCCAAAGAGAAAAUCGAGGGAUGUCACAUCUGCACCUCUGUGACGCCCGGUGAGCCCCAAGUGCUGCUGGGGAAGGACAAAGCCUUCACCUAUGACUUUGUCUUUGACCUGGACACGUGGCAGGAGCAGAUCUACACAACGUGCGUGGGCAAGCUCAUUGAAGGCUGCUUCGAGGGCUACAAUGCCACCGUGCUGGCGUAUGGCCAGACUGGUGCGGGAAAGACAUACACCAUGGGCACUGGCUUCGACAUGAGCAUCUCUGAGGAUGAGCAGGGCAUCAUCCCGCGGGCCAUCGGCCACCUCUUCAGCGGCAUUGAGGAGCGCAAGCGGGCGGCACAGAGUCAGGGGGUGGCAGUGCCUGAGUUCAAAGUCAGCGCCCAAUUCCUGGAGCUCUACAAUGAAGAGAUCCUGGACCUGUUUGACAGCACCCGUGACCCAGAUGCACGUCACCGCAAAUCCAACAUCAAAAUCCACGAGGAUGCCAGCGGGAGCAUCUACACCACGGGGGUCACAUCGCGGCUCAUCAGCUCCCAGGACGAGCUCAUCCAGUGCCUGAAGCAGGGAGCUCUUUCCCGCACCACUGCCAGCACCCAGAUGAAUGUGCAGAGCUCCCGGUCCCACGCCAUCUUCACCAUUCAUCUGUGCCAGAUGAGAGUGUGUGCCCGCCCGGAGCUGGUGAACGGGGAGGUGACCGGCCUGCCGGAUGGAGCCCAGCCCACCACUGAGUACGAGACCCUCACAGCCAAGUUUCACUUUGUGGACCUGGCUGGCUCGGAGAGGCUGAAGAGAACGGGCGCUACUGGCGAGAGAGCCAAGGAAGGCAUCUCCAUCAACUGUGGGCUGCUGGCGCUGGGGAAUGUCAUCAGUGCCCUUGGAGACCAGAGCAAGAAAGCUGUGCAUGUGCCCUACCGCGACUCCAAGCUCACCCGCCUGCUGCAGGAUUCCCUCGGUGGCAACAGCCAAACCAUCAUGAUCGCUUGUGUGAGCCCAUCUGACCGCGACUUCAUGGAGACCCUGAACACUCUCAAGUAUGCCAACCGGGCUCGCAACAUCAAGAACAAGGUGGUGGUGAACCAGGACAAGACAAGUCAGCAGAUCAGUGCCCUGCGGGCUGAGAUCGCCCGUCUGCAGAUGGAGCUGAUGGAGUACAAGGCAGGCAAGAGGGUCAUUGGGGAGGACGGUUCAGAGGGCUACAGCGAUUUGUUCCGUGAGAACGCCAUGCUGCAGAAGGAGAACAGCGCCCUGCGCAUGCGGGUGAAGGCCAUGCAGGAGGCCAUCGACUCCAUCAACAACAGAGUCACCCAACUGAUGAGCCAGGAGGCCAACCUGAUGCUGGCCAAGGCAGGUGAUAGCAAUGAGGCCAUCGGUGCUCUCAUCCAGAACUACAUCCGAGAGAUUGAGGAGCUGAGGACGAAGCUUCUGGAGAGUGAAUCCAUGAAUGAAUCCUUGCGUCGCAGCCUCUCGCGCCUCUCUGCCCGUCCCCCCUACUCUGUGGGCUCAUCCCCAGCUCCCGGCCUGGCUGGGCUGGGCAGCCCUGCUGCCCCUGUGGAAACCGAGGCCUCUGACGUCCUGCGACGGGCCAAGCAGGACCUGGAGCGGCUGAAAAAGAAAGAGAGGAGGCAGCGGAGGAAAAGCCCAGAGAAGGAAGCAUUUAAGAAGCGGCCAAAGCUGCAGCAGGACAACGGGGAGGAGACGGAUGAGAAUGAAGCAGAAGAGGAGGAGGAGGAGGAGGAACAGGAUGAGAGUGGCUGUGAGGAAGAGGAUGGACGUGAGGAUGAAGAUGAGGACUCAGGCAGUGAAGAAAGCCUGGUGGACUCUGACUCGGAUGCAGAGGAGAAGGCGGUGAAUUUCCAGGCUGACCUUGCAGAUUUGACUUGUGAGAUAGAGAUCAAGCAGAAGCUGAUCGAUGAGCUGGAGAACAGCCAACGGCGCCUGCAGACGCUCAAGCACCAGUAUGAGGAGAAGCUGAUCCUGCUGCAGAACAAGAUCCGGGACACGCAGCUGGAGCGGGACCGGGUCCUGCAGAACCUCAGCACCAUGGAGUGCUACACAGAGGAGAAGGCCAACAAGAUCAAAGCAGACUAUGAGAAACGGCUGAAGGAGAUGAACAGGGACCUGCAGAAGCUGCAGGCUGCCCAGAAGGAACAUGCUCGCCUGCUCAAGAACCAGUCCCGCUACGAGCGGGAGCUGAGGAAGCUGCAGGCAGAGGUGGCUGAGAUGAAGAAAGCAAAGGUCGCGCUGAUGAAGCAGAUGCGGGAGGAGCAGCAGCGGAGACGACUGGCAGAGACGAAGAGGAACAGGGAAAUAGCACAGCUCAAGAAGGAGCAGCGCCGGCAGGAGUUUCAGAUCCGGGCUCUGGAGUCUCAGAAGCGGCAGCAGGAAAUUGUGCUGCGAAGGAAAACUCAGGAGGUCUCAGCGCUGCGCCGUCUCGCCAAGCCCAUGUCAGACCGAGUUGCAGGCAGGACGAGCCAGAAGCCAGCCAUGCUGGACUCUGGUGCAGAGGUCUCAGCCAGCACCACCUCGUCUGAGCCAGAGUCCGGCGCUCGCUCCGUCUCCAGCAUCGUGCGCCAAUGGAACAGGAAAAUCAAUAACUUCCUGGGAGACCCCUCACCUUCUGUCAAUGGGGCUCGGCCAGUCAGGAAGAAGUUCCCCAAGAAGGGAUCGAGUCAGACCUUCAGUAAAGCUGCCCGCCUCAAGUGGCAGUCGCUGGAGCGGCGCAUCUUCGACAUCGUGAUGCAGAGGAUGACCAUCGUCAACCUGGAGGCUGACAUGGAGAGGCUCAUCAAGAAACGAGAGGAGCUGGCACUGCUGCAGGAGGCCCUGCUGGGCAAGAGGGCGAAACUGCAGGCAGAGAGCCCGAAGGAGCAGAAGGGGCUGCAGGAGCUGAACGAGGAGAUUGAGGUGCUGGGGGCCAACAUUGACUACAUCAAUGACAGCAUCUCUGACUGCCAAGCUACCAUCAUGCAGAUUGAGGAGACCAAGGAGGAGCUGGACUCCACGGACACCUCGGUGGUGAUCAGUUCCUGCUCCCUUGCUGAAGCCCGGCUGCUGCUGGACAACUUCCUGAAGGCAUCCAUCGACAAGGGCCUGCAGGUGGCACAGAAGGAGGCCCAGAUCCGCCUCCUGGAGGGACGGCUGAAGCAGACGGAUGUGACCGGCUCCUCGCAGAACCACCUCAUCCUGGAUGCCCUGCGGGAGAAGGCUGAGUCGCACCCUGAGCUCCAGGCGCUGAUUCACAACGUCCAGCAAGAGAAUGGCUACACCAGCACAGAUGAGGAGGUCUCUGAAUUCAGCUUGGCUUCAGAUGGGAGCAUCUCCCAGUCUUUCAGCAUGAAGGGCUCAGCGAGUCAGGAUGAUUUCAAGUUCAAGGGAGAGCCCAAGCUCUCGGGGCAGAUGAAGGCAGUGUCAGCUGAAUGUCUAGGACCCACGCUGGACAUCUCCACCAAGAACAUCACCAAGUCCUUGGCAUCGCUCAUGGAGAUCAAAGAGGAUGGGAUCAGCUUCUCAAUCCGAGACCCCUAUUACAAGGAGAAGGUGUCGCGCACCGUCAGCCUGCCCACACGGGGGAGCACUUUUCCCAGACAAUCUCGUGUCUCAGACACGUCGCCUCUCACAAGGAGGAAAUCCUACGACCGUGGGCAACCUGCUAGGCCUCCAGAUGUCGGCUUCACUCCUCCCUCAUCCCCACCCACACGCCCUCGCAACGACCGCAAUGUCUUCUCUCGUCUCACGAGCAACCAGAGCCAGGGGUCUGCCUUGGACAAGUCUGAUGACAGCGAUUCCUCUGUCUCGGAGGUGCUGAGGGGCAUCAUUAAUCCAGUGGGUGGCACCAAGAACGCGCGGACAGCCCCGCUGCAGUGCGUCUCUGUGGCAGAAGGACACACCAAGCCUGUGCUCUGCCUGGAUGCCACCGAUGAACUGCUUUUCACUGGCUCCAAAGACCGGAGCUGUAAGAUGUGGAACUUGGUGACUGGUCAGGAAAUCGCUUCCCUCAAGGGUCACCCAAAUAACGUCGUUUCCAUCAAGUACUGCAGCCAUACGGGGUUGGUGUUCACCGUGUCCACGUCGUACAUCAAAGUGUGGGACAUCCGGGACUCAGCCCGCUGCAUCCGCACCCUCACGUCUUCUGGCCAGGUGAUCUCUGGGGAUGCGUGUGCUGGGACAACCACACGCACUGUGACCAGUGUGCAGGGGGAGCACCAGAUCAACCAGAUCGCUCUCAACCCCACUGGCACCACCCUCUAUGCUGCCACUGGAAACUCCGUCCGCAUCUGGGAGCUGAGCAGGCUGCAGCCUGUUGGAAAGCUGAGUGGCCACAUUGGGCCCGUGAUGUGUCUCACGGUAAACCAGACUGCAAGCAACCAUGACCUGGUGGUGACAGGCUCCAAAGAUCACUACGUCAAGGUGUUUGAGAUUGCUGAGGGCGUGGUGGGCAAUGUCAGCCCCACUCACAACUUCGAGCCCCCUCACUACGAUGGCAUCGAGUGCCUGGCCAUCCAGGGAGACGUCCUCUUCAGCGGCUCCAGGGACAACGGCAUUAAAAAGUGGGAUCUGGAGCAGCAGGAACUUCUCCAGCAAAUCCCAAAUGCACACAAAGACUGGGUCUGUGCCCUGGCCUUCAUCCCUGGCCGCCCCAUGGUGCUGAGUGCCUGCCGAGGAGGCAUGAUCAAAGUCUGGAAUGUGGACAACUUCACCCCGGUUGGGGAGAUCAAAGGGCACGACAGCCCCAUCAACGCCAUCUGUACCAACUCCAAGCACAUCUUCACUGCCUCCAGUGACUGCCGGGUAAAGUUAUGGAAUUACGUGCCUGGGCUCACCCCUUGCCUUCCACGACGCGUCCUUGCCAUAAAGGGCCGUGCUACUAGUCUGCCUUGACCCUCCUGCUCUUUCUGACUCUCUUGCACAUGCACUCUUCUGUCUUUUCUUUCCUUUUCUCUCUCUCCAUCUCCUCUUCCCUCUGUCUUUCUUGCUGUUGCUUGCUUUUGUUCUUCUCUCUUUCUUUCUCUCUCUCUGGUCUGAGCUGCUUCUUAACGCGACCUGACAGUGAAGCUCUGGAGUGGGAGGAGGUUACCCACCAGCUCCAACUAGGAACUGCAGAACUGCUAGAAGAUGUGGCAGGAGGGUGAAGGCUGGGGUUCACCCCAUCAUCUAUGGGAACUCUGCCCGGGGAUGGGGAUUCUUGUGCCUGACCCGGCAGGGUGGGUGAGAUGCAUCUUGUCCCAUCCUUGAGCACUGGCAGAUCCCGUGAAGAGGCAGCUCAACAAAGCACCGUCCGCUCCACUUUGCCUCCUGCUGCAGUUUCUCAGUGGUUUUCCAGUGACCAGGAAAGACUUCAUCUCUUUUCUCACCCACCCUACUGUGCUGCCUGCCAGGUCUGUGAGGGGUUGGAGUCCAGGUGAGCUUCCUGGCUCCUUUUCAGAGACAUCCAGCUCCCUCCUGUCUCUGUGGCUUCAUGCAGCCUCUGCCUGGAUUUGCUGCUUUUGUCCCCGCUGUCUCCAGGCUGGUUCCUGCAAGAAUCUUUCUCUGUUCCACAGUCUCAAGGCUAUUUGAAGUCUUCUGGCCGGGACCAGAGGUCAGGUUGUUCUUUUUUCCUUUGGAGACAUUUCCUGUGGGACGUCCUCUGUGCUGCAGUGGAUCUGCAGAAGGACCUUCAGUUAGUUCCAUCCUUCCCUAACCUCAGCAUACCUGGCUGCAGCAGCUGGAGCUGCACAUCUGACCUGGCUCACCCGGAGCUUCCCUGCUGUGCCAUCACACCACUUCCAGCCCAACCCGCUGUGCUUCCCUGCAGCCAUCUCUGAAUUCCGACUGCAAACUCUGCUGACCCUCUCCCCUUCACCGUGUGCCCACUUUGCUCUGUGGUGGGGUAGGGAAGGGCUUCUCACCCUCAGCUACGGCUGCAGGUGGGUGAGGAUGGAGAUGGCUGUGCCAGGAGCAGAGCGCAGACGGGUUGGAUGCUGGUCCUGCACGAGUCCCCCCGUGGCUGCACGCCUGAAGGACAAUCCUACAGAGAAUGAUUGUGCACAGCUGGAGCCCUUCAGAAGGCUGAAGGCUCAGCCCAGGAGUGUCAACGAGGAUGCAGCCUCUCCAGCUGCCCUGCUCGCUUUUCUCUGGUCAGGGGGCCAACAAGGCCCUGGUCUCACACUGGAGCUUUCUUCUACCUCUCCUGUGGUCCCUCGGAGCAUCCCCUGCUCCAUCUGCCCUGCCCCACGCUGGGCUCGUGAGGGAACCGGCUGUGUUGACCCUGGGAGUGGUGUUCUCACCUUAUGUGCUCUCACUUCACUUUUGUCACUGAAGAAUCAACGUUUGAACUCGGAUUUAAGGAUUUCUCUGUGUGAUCCCAUUGGUGCUGAGCUAGGAUCUCUGAGGAGCUCCAGGAUGUGCCCCGUAAAGCACAGACCGAUUUCCUUCUGCUUUCUGCAGCCCUGUUUUUUUGUCACCAGCCCUUGUUCAAACCACUGCAGGAGGGAAUUUCUGCACACCUUGAAACAGGAGCAUCUCUACUGACUUGAUGAAAUCUUUCUUCUUUUAUCAUUUGGGGGGGGGGGGGAUGAAGAAAAUGCUGUUUACACGCCCCGCUGGAGGGCAUGAUGGCUGCACAGGGUCACCCUGCCCAGGACAGGAUGGUGACUGCACCUGGGUCACAGCUGAGCCCUGUGCUGUGGGGCUGGGGGUGGGCAGAAAGGCUCAGAGGCCCCACGGCUGCCCCGUGACGCACAGCACCAGGAGGUGGAGGCAGUGCUGCCCUCUCAGCCUGUUCUUUUUCAUUGGGAUGUGUGUGUCUGCGUUUGUGUGGCUGUAGCUGGGUGUGCCAUGGGCAUUGGUGUCUAAGUACCUGUGUGGGUUGCUAUUUCCCAUGUGGAAGAGUGACUUUUUUUUGGGGGGGAGGGGGAUGUUGAUUUGGUUUAGCUACCUCACGGUGCAAGCUGGGUGCUGUUGUCAUUGGUUUCAUUUUGGGGGUGGGCUGGGGAGGCUUUGUUUGUAUUCCUUUGGCCAUUGCUGUUAUGGAUUUGAUACUUGAGUUUGUCCCAAAGACGCGCGGCCUCACUGCGCCUUGCUGUGUUUCUGAGCCCCUCCUGUUUCCUCCUGUUGCUCGGCACAGGGCUCUGUGCUUCUGCUCUUAGGCGUGGGGUCGAUGUGCAGCCUGAGGGCAGUGGUUCCCUUGAAGCACAGGCAGGUCCCUCUGUGGGGCUGAGCUCAGCCUGUGUUCUUGCCUCUGCUCUCAUAGAGAUUUGCUGUGGGUGCAAAGCAGCUCUUCUUGUCUGGGCAAUGCCAUGCAGGGCACGUUAUUGGAAUGGGCUGGUCCUGGUCCCUGUGUUCCAGAACCUGCUGUGAUGUGGUAGCAGCAGGCAGCUGGUGCUGUAACAGCCUCUGCCCGAAACGGAGGCAGCCUGAGAUGAACUGGAUCUCAUAGGUGCUGUUAGAGUUGUUGUCCCCAAAAUGUAGUUCAAUCUAGAUCCUGUCCCAGGCACUGAGCAUCACUAGGACAGCCCUGGGAAGCUGGCGUGGGGCUCUGCCCUGCUCCCCAGCACUGGGGGCUGUGGGAGGGGGCAGCUCUGAGCCAUGCUGUUGGGGGGGGGGGGGGCAGGUCCUCCGAACGCUAAAGCACAAAGUCCCACCCCAGCUGAAGUCCACCAAGUGUGGCCCCUUGGCCUCUGGUCCUUCGGCUCCUUCCCUUGCUGUGGCUGCCCUGCCUCUGCCUGGGCGGGCACCAGAAGGCCCUGGGGCUGCAUUUGCCCAUUUUGCCAUCUGUUCCAGGGCCCAGGGUACAGUGCCUGCAGGCCCCGGCUGGGGCUGUGGUUUUGGACGCAGAGGGUGAAGGUGAAGGGCUGGGAUGCAGAUGGGGUCGGUCCUUUCGCACUGUGCUGGGUGCUCCUUUGGGGCUCAGGACUUGCACUGCUUUCUUGUGGUCUCUGAGCCUCUCUGCACCUCGUUUUGCUUCUCCCUCGGUGCCUUUGUUUGUGCCAAGCAUGGGGAUGAUAGCUGCUGUCCUGGGAGCUCCUUCCCUUGCUGAGAGCUGGGGGACUUUUUGUUCCUGGGCUCUGCCUCUUGCUCCUGAAUCUCCUCCUCCCAGCACACAGGGGCCAGCUUCGCGCUCUGCUGAGGGCACAGCACUGCCUGGAGCUGAGCUUUGCACAGAAGGGAAGGAGUUGACUCAGAAGCCCAAAUUUUCGGGCCCCCAAACCACUGUGAGCCCAUCCAGGGAGCUGCAGCUUUCCCAGCACAAACGACAAGGCUGUAGGGCUGUCCUCAGCCCAGCCAGCUGCGAGAAGCACAAGGGUACGUUGUUCCUCCCCAGCACCUCCAAGCACAGCUGCUUUGGGCUCCCUGCCUCAGCGUUCUGCUCCCAUCCCACGCUGGAUGGGGUCCAGGUACGAUCCCACAGAGCACUUGUCACUUCUCUCCUUGCCUUGCAGCCUGCUCACUGCUGCCUUGCUCCAUCCUGCAGGCACAUCGCCUCCCGCUCCCCCAGGUCUCGCACCCCGUGGUGCUCCCGCUCCAGCUGGGAGGGAUCCCAGCACAGUCCCACUCCCCCCAGGCCUUGUCCCCAGCAAAGCGUCACCCUUUGCCUCCCUGCCACCCCGGGGCUUUGUCCGCAUUCCCAGUGGAGCAGCUCUGCCCCUUUAUCUGCUCACUGCUCCGCAUCCCACGACCGCCCUGCUCUGCUCCCUGCGCUGCACCGCCUGCUCCAGCAGCCCAUCCCGCUGCACAACUGGCACAGCAGCAGGUGCCUUUUCUUGCUCGGAGCUGUUGUACAGAGGCCAACUCCUGUUUGUGAAGGCUUUUUUUGUCUCUGCUGGGUGGCGCAGCCCAGCGCUGCGGUCUGGGUUUGUCAGAGGACAAGGUGUGUACAAAUAUUUUAUACCUCGAUGUGUUCCUGUAAAUAGUGUAACUUAUUUCGGUCUCAUGAUGUAUGUUUGUUUGGAUUUUUUCCCAAUGGAUGUGUUUGUUCCUUGCCUCUUUGUCUUCGCAAAUAAAGCGUACUGAAAGGAA
This is an RNA transcript of Tympanuchus pallidicinctus (lesser prairie-chicken), 9218 nucleotides long. It is a transcript of the gene named kinesin family member 21B, with no coding region annotated. The transcript is spliced from 36 exons. The record is from RefSeq and is a predicted model, not a curated record. NCBI's taxonomy places the organism in Eukaryota, Metazoa, Chordata, Aves, Galliformes, Phasianidae.